Daucus carota subsp. sativus is the source of this 1273-nucleotide long non-coding RNA. RefSeq lists it as uncharacterized. The record is from RefSeq and is a predicted model, not a curated record. Lineage: Eukaryota; Viridiplantae; Streptophyta; Magnoliopsida; Apiales; Apiaceae. The transcript is spliced from 4 exons.
ACUGCCAUCACUCUUUAUCGACGAGAAAACGUCUCUUGUGCUUCAUUAAAAUAAAACGGCAGCAGUUGCGAGGAAUCCCUUGACUGAGUGUUGGGAAUUGGGAUAGAAUACUUCAGGUGGGGUGAUUUUAAUUCAGAUUCAGUUGUUUAGGUUGGAUUUUAGGGGGUUGUGUAUGUUGUGGAUUUUGGGUUGCGGAGAAAGGGCUCGAAUUUCAUAGUGAUGAGGAUAAAGAGGUUCAAGGGAUAAAGCUUUUGUAGACGUGUCGUGUGUUUCGCGGGCCAGUGGAAGAGAUAUCUUUGACGGCCGGCCAGAGUUAUAUAGCGAGAACAUGAUAUGUUGAUGCAUAAAGAGCUCAGAAUCUUUAUUGGAAAAUAGCGAAGUAUCGAGCUAAGAAUAUUGAGGUCGGGAGAGAGAAUAAAAUAUGCUGGUUUAAUGGAUGCCUACACUUCUCUGUUCCAGAAUAGCAUGUUCAGGCAGUGACACCAUUGCAGGAUGUUGCACCACCACUAAUUCAUGACCACUAACCUAUUAAAAAGGUUUUGACAUUAUCGAAUGUUGAUACUAAUCAUCCAUUUCUUCCUUUGGCAUGCAGAUUAGUCGAAGAUCAUAAAAGUGUUGUGUUGUGCAUGAUACGGAGUUUUAGCCUUGAGUACUUCUGAUUCACUCGCUGGAUGAAGAGUGAGCUCCCUUACUUCAGUGCUCUGGAUCUUCUAUGCCACAUCUGUUGACGAAGUAGUUAAUGGCACAUGUUAACCUCAUCAUGUUAACCUCACAGAUAAGCUUUUGAACUACAAUAUGUUUUUGUCAUAGCUGGUUUUGAAAAGAAUUGAGAGGAGUUGUUGCUGAGGGGAAAAGUCAUUUGUUUUAGCUUAGUCAAUUUUUACGCGGCUUAAAUCUUACAAGCGCUACAAUCAGUUUGGUAUCUGGAGGUAAUAUUAGAUCAAGUGGAGACUUCGUAGGGCCGAUACUAGCAGUCAAGCGAAAGGCUCUCGGCAGUUAGAGGAAAGGUCGAUGAUGCUUUCAGGGUUGCCUGCCAAAUCUUUCAUGAAUUUAAUGGAAUCAAGGAAGGAAAGUGUACCAUGGUCUCUACCCUCAGCUUUAGCUCAAAGACGGAGACUACUGAAAAAUGAUGCAAAUUAAAUCCUACUUUGUAAUCCACAUAUUUUUUGUAAAAAAAAACCGACACAUGUACAAUGAUCUCCUUCAACAACUGCAGGCGACAACCUAUAUUACAUCCUAUGCUGCAAUUUACAUGCAAUUUUACAUUGUUAGA